GCCUCUGUAGCUCAGUUGGUUAGAGCGCUGCACCAGAAUCACGGGCCCGUAGGUUCAAUUCCUACCAGAGGAC
Molecule: transfer RNA, 73 nt
Filed under: Paramuricea clavata
Lineage: Eukaryota; Metazoa; Cnidaria; Anthozoa; Malacalcyonacea; Plexauridae
Rfam family: tRNA
About the family: Transfer RNA (tRNA) molecules are approximately 80 nucleotides in length. Their secondary structure includes four short double-helical elements and three loops (D, anti-codon, and T loops). Further hydrogen bonds mediate the characteristic L-shaped molecular structure. tRNAs have two regions of fundamental functional importance: the anti-codon, which is responsible for specific mRNA codon recognition, and the 3' end, to which the tRNAs corresponding amino acid is attached (by aminoacyl-tRNA synthetases). tRNAs cope with the degeneracy of the genetic code in two manners: having more than one tRNA (with a specific anti-codon) for a particular amino acid; and 'wobble' base-pairing, i.e. permitting non-standard base-pairing at the 3rd anti-codon position.
Source: Rfam by way of RNAcentral